UACGUAGGGCGCAAGCGUUGUCCGGAUUUAUUGGGCGUAAAGAGCUCGUAGGCGGUCCGUCGCGUCGGCUGUGAAAACCCGAGGCUCAACCUCGGGCCUGCAGUCGAUACGGGCAGACUAGAGUGCGGUAGGGGAGACUGGAAUUCCUGGUGUAGCGGUGAAAUGCGCAGAUAUCAGGAGGAACACCGGUGGCGAAGGCGGGUCUCUGGGCCGUUCCUGACGCUGAGGCACGAAGGUCAGGGGAGCAAACGGG
Molecule: ribosomal RNA, 253 nt
Filed under: uncultured bacterium
Lineage: Bacteria
Description: partial 16S ribosomal RNA
Rfam family: Bacterial small subunit ribosomal RNA
Source: RNAcentral